This is a long non-coding RNA of Oncorhynchus keta (chum salmon), 4184 nucleotides long. RefSeq lists it as uncharacterized. The transcript has 4 exons. NCBI's taxonomy places the organism in Eukaryota, Metazoa, Chordata, Actinopteri, Salmoniformes, Salmonidae. The record is from RefSeq and is a predicted model, not a curated record.
CAGGGCAAAACAGCUGCUCACACUAAUGUCACCAAUACCUCGGUGACUCAGAGCACAGUCACUGACGUUCUGUAUGUCAUUAAUGCUAUGCAGAGGAUCGCUAUAUCACAUUAUAUGGAACAUGUCAAUACAGCACAUACCGGUAAGUGCCAAAAUAAUGGAAACACGAGUAAAUGAUGGAUACCAAGUAUAUUGAAAGUAAGUGCUUCCACACAGGUGUUGUUCCUGAGUUAAUGAAGCUAUUAACAUCCCAUUGUGCUUAGGGUCACGUAUAAAAAUGCUGGGCAGUCCAUUAUUUUGGCUUCCAUGGCUAUUACCCCAAAGGACGACAAUGCCCCAUCCACAGGGCAUGAUUGGCCACUGAAUGGUUUGAUGGAAGAAUGUUGGAGGGAUGCGACACCAGAGUUAAAGACACGUAGAAUCUAUGCCAAGGUACAUUGAAGCUGUUCUGGCUCAUGGUGGACUAACACCGUAUUAAAUCAAAUAAAAUGUUUUGUCACAUGCGCCGAAUACAACAGUGAAAUGCGUACUUACAAGCCCUUAACCAACAAUGCAGUUAAGAAAAUUGAGUGUUAAGAAAGUAUUUAUUAAAAUCAACUGAAGCAAAAAAAAAUAACAAUAAAAUAAACAGUAACAAGGCUAUAUUCAGGGGGUACCAAGUCAAUGCACAGGUUAGUCGAGGUAAUAUGUACAUGUAGGUAGACGUAAAGGGACUAUGCAUAGAUAAUAAACAGAGAGUAGCAGCAGUGUGAAAAUGGAGAUGGGUCAAUGUAAAUAGUCCAGGUAGCCAUUUGAUAAGCUGUUCAGGAGUCUUAGGACUUGGGGGUAGCAGCUGUUAAGAAGCCUUUUGGACGCUUGCCGUGCGAUAGCAGAGAGAACAGUCUAUUUCUCGGGUGGCUGGAGUCUUUGGCAAUUUUUAGGGCCUUCCUCUGACACCGCCUGGUAUAGAGGUCCUGGAUGGCAGGAAGCUUGGCCCCAGUGAUGUACUGGGGCCAAGUGAUGUACUACCCUCUGUAGUGCCUUGCGAUCGGAGGCCGAGCAGUUGCCAUAUCAGGUCAGGAUGCUCUCGAUGGUGCAGCUGUCAAACUUUUUGAGCCAAAUCUUUUCAGUCUCCUGAGGGGUAAUAGGCAUUGUCGUGCCCUCUUCACAACUGUCUCGGUGUGUUUGGAUCAUGAUAGUUUGUUGGUGAUGUGGACACCAAGGAACUUGAAGCUCUCAACCUGCUCCACAACAGCCCCAUCGAUGAGAAUGGGGACGUGCUCGGUCCACAUUAUCCUGUAGUCCACGAUCAUCUCAUUUGUCUAGAUCACAUUGAGGGAGAGGUUGUUGUCCUGGCACCACAUGGCCAGGUCUCUGACCUCCCUAUAGGCCGUCUCAUCGUUGUUGUUGAUCAGGCCUACCACUGUUGUGUCAUCCACAAACUUGAUGGUGGUGUUGGAGUCAUGCCUGGCCAUGCAGUCAUGAGGGGUCUGAGCACGUUGAUUUUGUGGAAUUUAUUUUUCUUAAUGCGUUUGAGACAAUCAGUUGUGUUUUGACAAGGUAGGGGUGGUAUACAGAAGAUAGCCCUAUUUGGUAAAAUAUCAAGUCCAUAUUAUGACAAGAACAGCUCAAAUAAGCAAAGAUAAAUGACAGUCCAUCAUUACUUUAAGACAUUGAGGUCAGUCAUUACAGAACAUUUCAAGAACAAGAAGUGCAGUCGCAAAAACCCUCAAGCACUAUGAUGAAACCAGCUCUCAUGAAGACCACCACAGGAAAGGAAGAGUUGCUGCAGAGGAGCGCUUUACAGAGUUCAAAUAACAGACAACUGUUCAGAGGAGACUGUGUGAAUCUGGCCUUCAUGGUCAAAUUGCUGCAGCAAAACCACUACUAAAUGACACCAAUAAGAAGAAGAGACUUGCUUGGGCCAAGAAACAUGAGCAAUGGACAUUAGACCUGUGGAAAUCUGUCCUUUGGUCUGAUGAGUUCAAAUUUGAGAUUUUUGGUUCCAACCGCCGUGUCUUUGAGACGCAGAGCAGGUGAACAGAUGAUCUCUGCAUGUGUGGUUCCCUCUGAAGCAUGGAACAAAAUGUUAUUCAAUGCAGAGGUGUUCUGUUGUUAUCAUAGCCACAGCUCAAGGUUCUUUAAGGAUUUGUUCUGUUCAGUCACUACGAUGGACAGCCACUUUCCACUGUGCUGAAAGUCAUGUGUUAUUCUGUCAUACAACUCAUAGACCAUCUUAUUCAGUCAGUACAUAGGUCUACUGCGCAUAAAUCACAUAGAUAGUCUUACUCAACUGUCAACUCUAAAUUGAAAAUAAUGAUCUGUGAUGGUCAACAGUUUGGCACAGCUGCCAUACCAACCACAACUCCAUCUCUAUUGUACUACUGCACAGAGAGGUUACACAACAUAUGGUACUACUGUAGACAUUAGUUGGAGGGGUACCCACAGAGGUUACACAACAUAUGGUACUACUGUAGACAUUAGUUGGAGGGGUACCCACAGAGAGGUUACACAACAUAUGGUACUACUGUAGACAUUAGUUGGAGGGGUACCCACAGAGAGGUUACACAACAUAUGGUACUACUGUAGACAUUAGUUGGAGGGGUACCCACAGAGGUUACACAACAUAUGGUACUACUGUAGACAUUAGUUGGAGGGGUACCCACAGAGGUUACACAACAUAUGGUACUACUGUAGACAUUAGUUGGAGGGGUACCCACAGAGGUUACACAACAUAUGGUACUACUGUAGACAUUAGUUGGAGGGGUACCCACAGAGAGGUUACACAACAUAUGGUACUACUGUAGACAUUAGUUGGAGGGGUACCCACAGAGAGGUUACACAACAUAUGGUACUACUGUAGACAUUAGUUGGAGGGGUACCCACAGAGGUUACACAACAUAUGGUACUACUGUAGACAUUAGUUGGAGGGGUACCCACAGAGAGGUUACACAACAUAUGGUACUACUGUAGACAUUAGUUGGAGGGGUACCCACAGAGGUUACACAACAUAUGGUACUACUGUAGACAUUAGUUGGAGGGGUACCCACAGAGAGGUUACACAACAUAUGGUACUACUGUAGACAUUAGUUGGAGGGGUACCCACAGAGGUUACACAACAUAUGGUACUACUGUAGACAUUAGUUGGAGGGGUACCCACAGAGGUUACACAACAUAUGGUACUACUGUAGACAUUAGUUGGAGGGGUACCCACAGAGAGGUUACACAACAUAUGGUACUACUGUAGACAUUAGUUGGAGGGGUACCCACAGAGAGGUUACACAACAUAUGGUACUACUGUAGACAUUAGUUGGAGGGGUACCCACAGAGGUUACACAACAUAUGGUACUACUGUAGACAUUAGUUGGAGGGGUACCCACAGAGGUUACACAACAUAUGGUACUACUGUAGACAUUAGUUGGAGGGGUACCCACAGAGAGGUUACACAACAUAUGGUACUACUGUAGACAUUAGUUGGAGGGGUACCCACAGAGAGGUUACACAACAUAUGGUACUACUGUAGACAUUAGUUGGAGGGGUACCCACAGAGGUUACACAACAUAUGGUACUACUGUAGACAUUAGUUGGAGGGGUACCCACAGAGGUUACACAACAUAUGGUACUACUGUAGACAUUAGUUGGAGGGGUACCCACAGAGAGGUUACACAACAUAUGGUACUACUGUAGACAUUAGUUGGAGGGGUACCCACAGAGGUUACACAACAUAUGGUACUACUGUAGACAUUAGUUGGAGGGGUACCCACAGAGAGGUUACACAACAUAUGGUACUACUGUAGACAUUAGUUGGAGGGGUACCCACAGAGGUUACACAACAUAUGGUACUACUGUAGACAUUAGUUGGAGGGGUACCCACAGAGAGGUUACACAACAUAUGGUACUACUGUAGACAUUAGUUGGAGGGGUACCCACAGAGAGGUUACACAACAUAUGGUACUACUGUAGACAUUAGUUGGAGGGGUACCCACAGAGGUUACACAACAUAUGGUACUACUGUAGACAUUAGUUGGAGGGGUACCCACAGAGAGGUUACACAACAUAUGGUACUACUGUAGACAUUAGUUGGAGGGGUACCCACAGAGGUUACACAACAUAUGGUACUACUGUAGACAUUAGUUGGAGGGGUACCCACAGAGGUUACACAACAUAUGGUACUACUGUAGACAUUAGUUGGAGGGGUACCCACA